Molecule: ribosomal RNA, 465 nt
Filed under: uncultured bacterium
Lineage: Bacteria
Description: partial 16S ribosomal RNA
Rfam family: Bacterial small subunit ribosomal RNA
Source: RNAcentral
GACGAACGCUGGCGGCGUGCUUAACACAUGCAAGUCGAACGGAAAGGCCCUGCUUGCAGGGUACUCGAAUGGCGAACGGGUGAGUAACACGUGGGGGAUCUGCCCUGCACUUCGGGAUAAGCCUGGGAAACUGGGUCUAAUACCGGAUAGGAGCCAUUUUUAGUGUGAUGGUUGGAAAGUUUUUUCGGUGUAGGAUGAGCUCGCGGCCUAUCUGCGUGUUGGUGGGGUAAUGGCCUACGCAGGCGGCGACGGGUAGCCGGCCUGAGAGGGUGGACGGCCACAUUGGGACUGAGAGACGGGCCAGACUCCUACGGGAGGCAGCGGUGGGGAAUAUUGCACAAUGGGCGCAAGCCUGAUGCAGCGACGCCGCGUGGGGGAUGACGGCCUUCGGGUUGUAAACUCCUUUCGCUAGGGACGAAGCUUUUUGUGACGGUACCUAGAUAAGAAGCACCGGCUAACUACGUG